RNAcentral lists this ribosomal RNA (242 nucleotides) under uncultured bacterium. RNAcentral describes it as "partial 16S ribosomal RNA". It matches the Rfam family "Bacterial small subunit ribosomal RNA", at positions 15 to 252 of the family's 1533-position model. The record is from RNAcentral.
GAUCCUAGCUCAGGACGAACGCUGGCGGCGCGCCUAACACAUGCAAGUCGAACGAGAGAGGAAGAGCUUGCUUUUCCGAUCGAGUGGCGAACGGGUGAGUAACGCGUGAGGAACCUGCCUCAAAGAGGGGGACAACAGUUGGAAACGACUGCUAAUACCGCAUAAGCCCACGGCUCGGCAUCGAGCAGAGGGAAAAGGAGCAAUCCGCUUUGAGAUGGCCUCGCGUCCGAUUAGCUGGUUGG